AAUGCAAGCCGUUCUAUCGCUGCAAUUUAAUUAUUGGAGAGGAAAGUCCGGGCAACGCAGAGCAUCUCGCUUCCUAACGGGAAGAGGACUGGGAUUGAACACCCAGGCUAUGGAAAGUGCCGCAGAAAGCAUACCGCCGAUGGCCUGAAAAGGCACAGGUAAGGUUGAAAACGUGAGGUAAGAGCUCACGAGUUUUGCCAGUGAUGGUAAGGCUGGUAAACCCCGGGAGUUGAAAGACCAAAUAGGCUAACGCAUGUAGGGCUGCUCGUCCGAUGUUAGUGGGUAGGUCGUUAGAGAUAAAUGGCGACAUUUAUAGUGGAUUAAUGAUAGAAUCCUUAUUUAUUGAGGAACAGAACCCGGCUUACAGGCUUGCAUUUUUU
This 380-nucleotide RNase P RNA is filed under the name Pedobacter frigoris. RNAcentral's name for it is "Bacterial RNase P class A". It matches the Rfam family "Bacterial RNase P class A". From Rfam's summary of the family: Ribonuclease P (RNase P) is a ubiquitous endoribonuclease, found in archaea, bacteria and eukarya as well as chloroplasts and mitochondria. Its best characterised activity is the generation of mature 5'-ends of tRNAs by cleaving the 5'-leader elements of precursor-tRNAs. Lineage: Bacteria; Pseudomonadati; Bacteroidota; Sphingobacteriia; Sphingobacteriales; Sphingobacteriaceae. The record is from Rfam by way of RNAcentral.